GAUGAAGAACGCAGCGAAAUGCGAUACUUGGUGUGAAUUGCAGAAUCCCGUGAACCAUCAAGUCUUUGAACGCAAGUUGCGCCCGAAGCCAUUAGGCCGAGGGCACGCCUGCCUGGGCGUCACACGUCGUUGCCCCCCCAUCUACUCCUUCGGGAUUGCGGGGGGCGGAUGAUGGCCUCCCGUGCGCCUCGUCGCGCGGUUGGCAUAAAUGCCAAGUCCUCGGCGACGCACGCCACGACAAUCGGUGGUUGCGAAACCUCGGUGGCCCGUCGUGUGCGGUCGUCGCGCAUCGAGGGCUCGAAAAAAUUGCCGGGCUCCGGCUCGGCUUUCAACGCGACCCCAGGUCAGGCGGGGUUACCCGCUGAAUUUAAGCAUAUCAAUAAGCGGAGGA
This 391-nucleotide unclassified non-coding RNA is filed under the name soil metagenome. Its description in RNAcentral is "partial contains 5.8S ribosomal RNA, internal transcribed spacer 2, and large subunit ribosomal RNA". The stretch from base 1 to 122 matches the Rfam family "5.8S ribosomal RNA", at positions 35 to 154 of the family's 154-position model. The record is from RNAcentral.